AUAUAGCUUAGAGUGGUACAGUAUUCUAGUCAGCACAACUAUUCUUGAAGGCGGGGCUAAAAAUCCGUCGAAGGGCAUAUCGAUGAAGUUCCGUGUUUAGGCUUGUGACGCCCAGUCAUGGGUCUUCUCAGGGAGUAAGAAAGAUGGGGCGAUCUGCAAUGGCAUGCAGGCGUGGACCCUGCUUUCGUGGAGACACAAUAUAUUAUUACCCUAUAUUGUGAUAAACCUGCAUUAAGUAAGGGGCAGAGUAGCCUGCCUUGAGUGAAGUAUGGCGGAUGAUAAGUUCGAUUUAAGAGUGCAUAGGGCCCAGUUGUUCUUAAAUUUUGUUAUCGAAACCUAUUUUGCAAAAGAGGCUAAGGGAUAGAAUGGCUGUUGAGGAAAACUCCUAGACUGUUCAUAUGAGGUGAAUUUUGGAUUAAAGUGCGGACUAAGUGGCAAUCCAGUUCUAUCUAUGGUGACAGGAUAGUAUUAAAAUUAAAGGGAAACCACUGUUAUGGUGACAUACAGCUUUUAAUAGGGAAAUCCUGCUGGACCUGAAGCCGUAAAAUUUACUUAAUUCAUCACCACUUUG
This 571-nucleotide small RNA is filed under the name human gut metagenome. The record is from RNAcentral.